Molecule: long non-coding RNA, 203 nt
Filed under: Gossypium raimondii (Peruvian cotton)
Lineage: Eukaryota; Viridiplantae; Streptophyta; Magnoliopsida; Malvales; Malvaceae
Description: long non-coding RNA (GRAI_LNC010668)
Source: RNAcentral
ACAAAUAUAAACACAAUAAACAAAAUAUCAUAAGGGAGGAAGAGAACUGAAAUUACCUUGAAUUUGGAUGAUUUCGUCGGCAUAGUGAAAUCUGGAAUCGUAGGAGAUCCUAAAUUAAGUAUAUGGUUCUGAUCACACUAAUAAGAAGAUAGACAAAAAUAAAAUAAGAAAAAUAUAUAAAAAUAGAAAAAAACAGACAAAAC